UAUUGAUUUAUAGAGUUUUUACUGUAGUUAACCAUUAUUAUUUUGUAUACAAUAAUAUAAAAUUAGUUUUAUAGAGGGAAAUAUCGUUAUAUCCAAAAUAUAUAAAAAUAUAUAAACUAAAAAUUUGAAACACUUUUAAUAGAGAGAAAUUAGGUUUCAUAUACACCAAAAAAACAUAUUUAAGUAAAUACCCUAAAUACUAUUGACAUUUGUAAACCCCUAUACUGCCCCUGCCCCUGCCCCCUACCCAAACUUCUUCCUUCUUCUUCCUUCUCCUUCUCGAAUUUCUCUUAAAUCUCUCACCAAACUUAUUCAUUUUUUUUCAUCUUUCCUAAUUCUUUACUCUUCUUUAAAACUAUUUCAGUAUUUCUUACAAAUGGAUUCUUCUUCUUUUUUCCUAUUUUCACCAUUGUGGAUCCAAUAAAUAGUUUUUUCAUCGAUGAGUUCUUUUAGAAUAGCUUUUUUUUUGUCAGUUUCUUCAAUGUUUACCACAAUUUUGAAGGUUCCAAGUGAGUCAGUGCAUACCAGAGAGAUCUCUUCAGUUCAUGUGUUGGUAAAAUCACAUGCUCAACUAAGAGAUACUGGGGAAUUGAAGAGGGGGAUAUUAUCGUAUGAUUUGCAUCUUCAAACAUCAACAUUAUUAAUGUAAUGGUGAGAAGAUGAAUUGAGGAAGAGGAGAUUAUCGUAUGAUUGGUGUUGGAAUAUAGUAGGUGAUGAUUUGGAGAGUUAAAAAGAAGAUCAACUGAUUUGAAAAUAAGCUUUAAGAUUUAUAAAGGUUGAGAAAAUUUGGAGAGAAAGAUAAAUGAGAGAGAAGUGCGUUCGAAAAAGAAAAAGAAACAAGAAGAAAUUUUAGGGCAGGGGUAAAAUGGGAAAGGGGGACACAUAUGUCUACAGUAGCAAGGGGUUUUUCAUGGUUUUGGGUAGUUUCUUAAUUUCUUGUGGAUUUGGGUAUAUUAAGCCUAUUGUCUCUUUAAUAGAUUAGAUAAUAUCAUGAUAAAAUUGAAAAUGUAUAUCCUAACUUUUCUCUUGUUUAUCUUCGUGUCCACAAAUUAAACUCUAUGGCUUCGAA
This is a long non-coding RNA of Brassica napus (rape), 1069 nucleotides long. RefSeq lists it as uncharacterized. Lineage: Eukaryota; Viridiplantae; Streptophyta; Magnoliopsida; Brassicales; Brassicaceae. The transcript has 2 exons. The record is from RefSeq and is a predicted model, not a curated record.